GCCUUCGUGGUGUAGUGGUCAGCACGCUCGACGCGUAACCGAGAGGUCCAUGGUUCGAUUCCUGGUGAAAACG
Molecule: transfer RNA, 73 nt
Filed under: Stegodyphus mimosarum
Lineage: Eukaryota; Metazoa; Arthropoda; Arachnida; Araneae; Eresidae
Rfam family: tRNA
About the family: Transfer RNA (tRNA) molecules are approximately 80 nucleotides in length. Their secondary structure includes four short double-helical elements and three loops (D, anti-codon, and T loops).
Source: Rfam by way of RNAcentral